AUGUCAAAGGACCCAGUGGUGGUUGGCUGUCUGAUAAAGGAUUACUUCCCAUCUGGAACUAUGAAAGUGUCCUGGAGCAAGAGUGGAGCGGAUGUGACAACCAUAAACUUCCCACCUGCCCAGACCUCUGGGGGCCCAUUCACCAUGAGCAGCCAGUUGACACUGCCAGCUUCCCAGUGCCCAGCUGAAGAAAAUGUGACAUGCUCCGUGCAACAGAACUCUAACCCCGCCAAAGAUGUGGAUGUGCCCUGCUUAAUAGAUGAUCGUGUUCCAGGUCCUUGUCCCAUAGACUGCCAACCUCGCCUGUCCCUGCGCCGGCCAGCUCUUGAGGACCUGCUCCUGGGCAAAGAUGCCAGCCUCACGUGUACACUAAGUGGCCUGAAAAAACCCGAGGGAACCACUUUCACCUGGAAGCCUACCACUGGGAAGGAUGCAGUGACCAACGCACCUGUGCCAGACUCCUGCGGCUGCUACAGUGUAUCUAGUGUCCUGCCUGGCUGUGCUGAGCGCUGGAAUAAGGGGGAGACCUUCACAUGCACAGUUCACCACGCUGAGUCUGAGACCCUAACUGCCACAAUUGCCAAAGAGACAGGGAACGCCCUCCCACCCCAGGUCCACCUGCUGCCGCCGCCGUCGGAGGAGCUGGCCCUGAAUGAGCUGGUGUCCCUGACAUGCCUAGUACGAGGAUUCAACCCUAAAGAUGUGCUGGUGCGUUGGCUGCAUGGAAACAAGGAGCUGUCCAGUGGCGACUACCUAGUGUGGGAACCCCUGAAGGAGCCAGGCGAGGGUGCCACCACCUAUGCGGUGACAAGCGUGCUGCGUGUGUCAGCCGAAGCCUGGAAACAGGGUGACAAUUACUCCUGCAUGGUUGGCCACGAGGCUUUGCCCCUGAGCUUCACCCAGAAGACCAUCGAUCGUCUGUCGGGUCAUCUAUGUCUUACAGAAUGUCAAGAGCCAUUUCCUUGUGUGAUACUGGACCAGUCCCAGGACACGCUGGAGGAAGAGAUGCCGGGUGCCAGCCUGUGGCCCACCACAGUGACCUUUCUCACCCUUUUCCUGCUUAGCCUGUUCUACAGCACAGCACUCACCGCCACAACUGUGCGGGGCCCAUUUGGCAGCAAAGAGAUUCCCCAAUACUGA
This is a non-coding RNA of Cricetulus griseus (Chinese hamster), 1140 nucleotides long. The record is from the annotation of a RefSeq genome assembly. Lineage: Eukaryota; Metazoa; Chordata; Mammalia; Rodentia; Cricetidae.